AUGAAUGGCCGCGGUACCCUGACCGUGCUAAGGUAGCGUAAUCAGUUGGCUUUUAAAUGGAGUCAGGAAUGAAUGGAAUAACCGGGUUUAGCUGUCUCCUUCCUAAUUAGUUGAAUUUACUAUUCAAGUGAAAAAGCUUGAAGAAAGAAAAGGGACGAGAAGACCCUUAGAAUUUUCUUUAGUGGGAAAAUUUUUUCCUAAUGAUUUUGUUGGGGCGACAUGGAAAUAUAUGAAAACUUUCCUUUAAUACUUGCCGAUUUUGUUAAGUCAGGAUAAAUUACCUGAGGGAUAACAGCAUAAUUCUAUAGAUGAGUUUGUG
This 319-nucleotide ribosomal RNA is filed under the name Dendronotus kalikal. RNAcentral describes it as "partial 16S ribosomal RNA". It matches the Rfam family "Archaeal large subunit ribosomal RNA", at positions 2000 to 2591 of the family's 2987-position model. Lineage: Eukaryota; Metazoa; Mollusca; Gastropoda; Nudibranchia; Dendronotidae. The record is from RNAcentral.